CAGCAGCCGCGGUAAUACGAAGGUCCCAGGCGUUGUUCGGAAUCACUGGGCGUAAAGGGAGCGUAGGCUGCGUGGUAAGUCAGAUGUGAAAUCCCGGGGCUCAACCCCGGAACUGCAUCCGAUACUGCCAUGCUUGAGGGUUGGAGAGGUAGCUGGAAUUAUCGGUGUAGCAGUGAAAUGCGUGGAUAUCGAUAGGAACACUCGUGGCGAAGGCGAGCUACUGGACAACAUCUGACGCUGAGGCUCGAAGGCCAGGGGAGCAAAAGGGAUUAGAUACCCCUGUAGUCCUGGCAGUAAACGGUGCACGCUUGGUGUGAGGGGAUUCGACCCCCCUUGUGCCGGAGCUAACGCGUUAAGCGUGCCGCCUGGGAAGUACGGUCGCAAGACUAAAACUCAAAG
Molecule: ribosomal RNA, 399 nt
Filed under: uncultured bacterium
Lineage: Bacteria
Description: bacterial SSU rRNA
Rfam family: Bacterial small subunit ribosomal RNA
Source: RNAcentral